Molecule: long non-coding RNA, 318 nt
Filed under: Daucus carota (carrot)
Lineage: Eukaryota; Viridiplantae; Streptophyta; Magnoliopsida; Apiales; Apiaceae
Description: long non-coding RNA (DCAR_LNC005085)
Source: RNAcentral
AUUAUACAAAUAAAUAAAAGAAGAUAUAAACUAAGUGCAUAGAAUAAUCAUAACAUUUUUAUAAGCCAGUACAAGUAUACAUAAACUAAUAUUAUAUUGUAUACACAGUUAACCUAUUUUGACGUGAACACAUACAAAUAUAACCUACACUGCCUGUGCAAGUAACACAUAAAGCCCACUCAACAAGCCCAUCCAUCACUUCUAAACAGAUUACAGAUAAUUCACAAUUUACCCUAUCUGUCCAUAUCCCAAAACUCCAGUAAACUGAAUUCAACAAAAACUAAUGAUUUAUACAUAUGUAGCCAAUCAAAUAUAAAC